RNAcentral lists this ribosomal RNA (554 nucleotides) under uncultured bacterium. RNAcentral's name for it is "partial 16S ribosomal RNA". It matches the Rfam family "Bacterial small subunit ribosomal RNA", at positions 355 to 900 of the family's 1533-position model. The record is from RNAcentral.
UAGGGAAUCUUCCACAAUGGACGCAAGUCUGAUGGAGCAACGCCGCGUGAGUGAAGAAGGUUUUCGGACCGUAAAGCUCUGUUGUUGGUGAAGAAGGAUAGAGGUAGUAACUGGCCUUUAUUUGGCGGUAAUCAACCAGAAAGUCACGGCUAACUACGUGCCAGCAGCCGCGGUAAUACGUAGGUGGCAAGCGUUGUCCGGAUUUAUUGGGCGUAAAGCGAGCGCAGGCGGAAGAAUAAGUCUGAUGUGAAAGCCCUCGGCUUAACCGAGGAAUUGCAUCGGAAACCGUUUUCUUGAGUGCAGAAGAGGAGAGUAGAACUCCAUGUGUAGCGGUGGAAUGCGUAGAUAUAUGGAAGAAUACCAGUGGCGAAGGCGGCUCUCUGGUCUGCAACUGACGCUGAGGCUCGAAAGCAUGGGUAGCGAACAGGAUUAGAUACCCUGGUAGUCCAUGCCGUAAACGACGAGUGCUAAGUGUUGGGAGGCUUCCGCCUCUCAGUGCUGCAGCUAACGCAUUAAGCACUCCGCCUGGGGGAGUACGACCGCAAGGUUGAAAC